Molecule: ribosomal RNA, 414 nt
Filed under: uncultured bacterium
Lineage: Bacteria
Description: bacterial SSU rRNA
Rfam family: Bacterial small subunit ribosomal RNA
Source: RNAcentral
UAUUGGUCAAUGUAGGCGAGACUGAACCAGCCAAGUAGCGUGAAGGAUGACUGCCCUAUGGGUUGUAAACUUCUUUUAUAUGGGAAUAAAGUUUUCCACGUGUGGAAUUUUGUAUUUACCAUAUGAAUAAGGAUCGGCUAACUCCGUGCCAGCAGCCGCGGUAAUACGGAGGAACCGAGCGUUAUCCGGAUUUAUUGGGUUUAAAGGGGGCGUAGGUGGAUUGUUAAGUCAGUUGUGAAAGUUUGCGGCUCAACCGUAAAAUUGCAGUUGAAACUGGCAGUCUUGAGUACAGUAGAGGUGGGCGGAAUUCGUGGUGUAGCGGUGAAAUGCUUAGAUAUCACGAAGAACUCCGAUUGCGAAGGCAGCUCACUAGACUGCAACUGACACUGAUGCUCGAAAGUGUGGGGAUCAAAC